CAAUAGCGUAUAUUAAAGUUGUUGCGGUUAAAAGCUCGUAGUUGGAUUUCUGCUGAGGACGACCGGUCCGCCCUCUGGGUGAGUAUCUGGCUUGGCCUUGGCAUCUUCUUGGAGAACGUAGCUGCACUUGACUGUGUGGUGCGGUAUCCAGGACUUUUACUUUGAGGAAAUUAGAGUGUUUCAAGCAGGCACACGCCUUGAAUACAUUAGCAUGGAAUAAUAAGAUAGGACCUUGGUUCUAUUUUGUUGGUUUCUGGAACUGAAGUAAUGAUUGAUAGGGAUAGUUGGGGGUGCUAGUAUUGAGCGGCCAGAGGUGAAAUUCUUGGAUUCGCUCAAGACUAACUUAUGCGAAAGCAUUCACCAAGGAUGUCUUCUUUAAUCAAGAACGAAAGUUGGGGGAUCGAAGACGAUCAGAUACCGU
This 421-nucleotide ribosomal RNA is filed under the name uncultured eukaryote. RNAcentral describes it as "bacterial SSU rRNA". It matches the Rfam family "Eukaryotic small subunit ribosomal RNA", at positions 592 to 1018 of the family's 1831-position model. The record is from RNAcentral.